RNAcentral lists this ribosomal RNA (499 nucleotides) under uncultured bacterium. RNAcentral describes it as "partial 16S ribosomal RNA". It matches the Rfam family "Bacterial small subunit ribosomal RNA", at positions 30 to 523 of the family's 1533-position model. The record is from RNAcentral.
AUUGAACGCCGGCGGCGUGCCUAACACAUGCAAGUCGAGCGAGAAGUUUGAAAAAUGAGUUUUCGGACAAGUGAUUCAAACGGAAAGCGGCGGACGGGUGAGUAACGCGUAGGCAACCUGCCCCGCGCAGAGGGACAGCCUCGGGAAACCGGGAUUAAGACCUCAUGAUAUCGGGUUUUCACAUGGUAAUCCGGUCAAAGAUUUAUCGGCAUGGGAUGGGCCUGCGUCUGAUUAGCUGGUUGGUGGGGUAACGGCCUACCAACGCGACGAUCAGUAGCAGAACUGAGAGGAUCAUCUGCCACAUUGGAACUGAGACACGGUCCAAACUCCUACGGGAGGCAGCAGUGAGGAAUAUUGCACAAUGGGCGAAAGCCUGAUGCAGCAACGCCGCGUGAGCGAAGAAGGCCUUUGGGUCGUAAAGCUCUGUCCUUGGGGAAGAAACAAAUGACGGUACCCUUGGAGGAAGCCCCGGCUAACUACGUGCCAGCCGCCGCGGUAA